UACGUAGGGUGCGAGCGUUAAUCGGAAUUACUGGGCGUAAAGCGUGCGCAGGCGGCUUUGCAAGACAGAUGUGAAAUCCCCGGGCUUAACCUGGGAACUGCAUUUGUGACUGCAUGGCUGGAGUGCGGCAGAGGGGGAUGGAAUUCCGCGUGUAGCAGUGAAAUGCGUAGAUAUCAAGAGGAACACCUGCGGCGAAGGCGGGUUGCUGGGCCGACACUGGCGCUGAGGCGCGAAAGCCAGGGGAGCGAACGGG
Molecule: ribosomal RNA, 253 nt
Filed under: uncultured bacterium
Lineage: Bacteria
Description: partial 16S ribosomal RNA
Rfam family: Bacterial small subunit ribosomal RNA
Source: RNAcentral